This 462-nucleotide ribosomal RNA is filed under the name Lactobacillaceae bacterium. RNAcentral describes it as "bacterial SSU rRNA". It matches the Rfam family "Bacterial small subunit ribosomal RNA", at positions 87 to 535 of the family's 1533-position model. Lineage: Bacteria; Bacillati; Bacillota; Bacilli; Lactobacillales; Lactobacillaceae. The record is from RNAcentral.
UGGAACGAGUGGCGGACGGGUGAGUAACACGUGGGUAACCUGCCCUUAAGUGGGGGAAAACUUUUGGAAACAAAUGCUAAUACCGCAUAGAUCCAAGAACCGCAUGGUUCUUGGCUGAAAGAUGGCGUAAGCUAUCGCUUUUGGAUGGACCCGCGGCGUAUUAGCUAGUUGGUGAGGUAAUGGCUCACCAAGGCAAUGAUACGUAGCCAAACUGAGAGGUUGAUCGGCCACAUUGGGACUGAAACACGGCCCAAACUCCUACGGGAGGCACCAGUAGGGAAUCUUCCACAAUGAACGCAAGUCUGAUGGAGCAACGCCGCGUGAGUGAAAAAGGCUUUCGGGUCGUAAAACUCUGUUGUUGAAAAAAAAUGGUCGGCAAAGUAACUGUUGUCGGCGUGACGGUAUCCAACCAAAAAGCCACGGCAAACUACGUGCCACCACCCGCGGUAAUACAUAGGUAGC